CUCCGCCGCCGCCCCCAUCCCCAAUCUCCUCCCUCCUCCGCCGCCCCAUCCCCAAUCUCCUCUCCCUGCCCCGUCGCCCCAUCCCGAAUCCCCUCCUCUCGCUCCUCCGCACCCUCUCCAUCUGGUGGUCGCUCCUUUCACCACCCCUUGCCCCACCUCCCGGCUGAGCCCUUUCUCUUCCCCGGCCUCUCCCGUACCUCCUCCGCUCACAUUCCUAGUGGCACCUCUGCGUCCUCUACCCUAUGCUCUACCUUUCCUGCUGACCAGCGAUGAUAACGGCGUCUUGGGUGCGCUGGAUCCGGCAUGGAUCUCAAUACCGACAGUAGCCUUGUUGGAGCAGAGCAGCUGUGCGAUGGCCGGUCUACCGCGACGACUCGCUGGAGGCGGCAGCGAACUCUAGUCGCCACUCACCACUUGUUACCGGCUCAACGCCUUCGACUGGAGGCAGAGCAAUACUGUCAACAAGGUAAGUACCAAGGCAGCUGCGGUGAGUGUGCACAGCGGCAGAUAUGCAUGGUGAGCUUAUCCCCUUCCACACCAACUUGUGAUUUUGUUCUUCCAUGGCCGAUGUGUCUAUGCAGACACUGGAUCUAAAUUUAGAACCUGCCACUUUUAUAUUCCUUGAUUUUUUGCACGGAUGGUUACCGCUAGCUUAACACAAAACGUUCUGAUGUUUCUCUGGUAACAUGCAUUGAAUUGAUGUACUGGUGGUUGGUUGAGUGUCCGUACGUGAUAGACCUGUGUUUGAGUAAUGAUCUAGACCACAAACUUAAGUUGCCGGAUAUAUCUGCAUAUACAGAAGCUAGCUUCUCAUGUAUGCAUGUUAAUGUCAACUAGCUGUGGUAUAUACUGGUGAUUUUACCUGAUUGUGCUAAAAUUUACAUCAUAGAGGUGUAUUUGAUUUAUUGUCAAUUGAUGGUGGUUGGUCAUCAUGCAAGCCACCCCUUCUCUGUUAUUUUGUACAAAUAUGUGAUUUUUCAUACAGACUUUUGUUCUUGCAAUCUAUCAUACAUGGGCUUCGUUAAUUAUAUAUGCCAUACAUGUUGAUCAACAUCAUUAGUGAACAAAUCAUUUUGCUCUAGAAACAAGGAACACAUUUGAGAGUUCUAUGUUCAGUUGUGUAUGAUUGUUUUUUGUUGUUGCGCUGUCUUUGGCUAUAAUUCAAUUCAUACUCAAAAUGAUGAGCUUAGAGCAUAUUUUAUCUUUCUCUUACUAAGAAAAUCAUUGUGUUUAUAAUUUAUAUGUUGAACAGUACUUGUGCUAUGCAUAUUUCAAUGGGUCAUGAAUUUAAAGUGAAUGUGAGUGUUGUGCAUAUGUGAUUUUUUUUCAUUUCAGCUGAGCGUGAAGUUUGUGAAAUUUGCUUCAGGGCCAUCCUGUCAAGUCCAUCAUUAAGAAAGGGAAGCUAUUGAUUUAUGGGAGCAUUUUCAGCAACAAAGACGUGUGUUUUGACGACUUCGGUAUGGACGGGCGGAUCUGUGGCUAGAAAAGCGGAUUGAUGGGGGCGGUGUUGGCUGUAGAGUAGCAUAGUGUUCUCCAAAACAUGCUUGUAAACUUAAUGUUAUUUGGGUAUUUUCUUUUUGGUCCUGUAGUGGUGUAUUUUUGGUUGUGUUUGUGUAAUUUUCUUUUUUUAGUGACAUGAGCAUAUAUUUUUUGUAAAAUUCUUAUUGGCUUAAAGUUUCAAUGGAGGCAGAAAUUCUUAUUGGCUUAAAGUUUCAAUGGAG
Molecule: ribosomal RNA, 1721 nt
Filed under: Triticum aestivum (bread wheat)
Lineage: Eukaryota; Viridiplantae; Streptophyta; Magnoliopsida; Poales; Poaceae
Description: partial small subunit ribosomal RNA
Source: RNAcentral